This is a long non-coding RNA of Sorghum bicolor (sorghum), 634 nucleotides long. RefSeq lists it as uncharacterized. Lineage: Eukaryota; Viridiplantae; Streptophyta; Magnoliopsida; Poales; Poaceae. The transcript has 3 exons. The record is from RefSeq and is a predicted model, not a curated record.
UAAAAUCUAGUUUUCCCUCCCCUGUCUCUCACACGCAGCGGCCGCAGCGGCGGUGGCCAAGCACUCGCUCGCACGCAUCGACCGAGCGCUCGCGCAACUACCCAUCGUGUCGCCGUGGAAGGCCAGUGCGGCGGCAUCGACGACGACUGGGACGCGCUCACGCGUCCGCGUGUGCGCCCGUGUGCCCGUGCGCCAUCCACAACCGGCGACCCAUGCUCGAGCUCGCGGUGGAUCCAACGGUCGUAGGCGUGAUGCGGCGGCGGGAGGCGAGAUCCAGCCAUGCCCUCCCCAACCUCUCCCUCACCCAGGACGUGUUGAAAGUUGCGACAAGUAAGAAGGGAAGUGAGGGACAUGGGAGCUACAUAUUGUUUCAAGGAACUUAAAGGUGCCGUUGGAGUGAUGGACAACUUCCUAGAAGCAGUCUACUCUGACCGUAACACUAAUGCAUGUGCAGCAAGAAAAUAUAGCAAGUUUGGUCAUUUUAGGAGAUUACUUUUUAUAAUUCUUAGAUUGAUGGAUUUUAUUUUGUUGGAUAAUGUGAGCUAUGAUGCGCAAGAAUGUGUAAAUUACAAAAUCUGCAACGUGUGAAUAUCGUCAUGUGAUAAUUAUUGUGCUAAACUUUUAUGGGCUAAAA